UCCGGCGGCCUGCAGCUCUUUCUGCCCACAAAUUAUUCAUCGUGCUCCCUGCAGGCCCCAGCUGUCAAUCCCAGAAGAGUUGGUAGGGUAGAUGGGCAAGGGGGCUCUUGAGCAAGCUGACUCAGGAGGGUUGGAGAAGACGAUGCCUGAAGUCUCCCAUGUUGAGUACAGGAGGUCCAACCUAAGAAGCUUUCAUUAGUUCUGUGGAUCAUUCCUGGUGUAAACAAGGACUUGUUUAUUGAGGAUAGAAAGAGGAAGCUGUAUAAUUCCACCAUGACACCUCCAUCACAACCAUGGCAGCAGGUGGAGUCCUCCGUGCCUCACAGGUGGCAGAGCAGCUGGCCCACUAUGUCUAUGUGUCAGAGGCGGUAAUCACAGAGGAGACGUUUGAUGAGGCCGUACAUACAGUUUGGCAAAGUGCAAGGCGACCCCAACCACAGCUGAGCAGGAUGACCUGUUUGCAUGCCUCCUUGGUUGCCCUCAGCACCUACUGGGAAAAGAGCAUGAAAGGACAACUACACCACCAACAUACUACCUUGUCAGCC
Etheostoma spectabile (orangethroat darter) is the source of this 545-nucleotide long non-coding RNA. RefSeq lists it as uncharacterized. NCBI's taxonomy places the organism in Eukaryota, Metazoa, Chordata, Actinopteri, Perciformes, Percidae. The transcript has 4 exons. The record is from RefSeq and is a predicted model, not a curated record.